CCUACGGGGGGCUGCAGUGGGGAAUAUUGCGCAAUGGGGGAAACCCUGACGCAGCAACGCCGCGUGAAGGAUGAAGGUUUUCGGAUCGUAAACUUCUUUGAUGAGGGACGAAUAAUGACGGUACCUCAAAAACAAGCCACGGCUAACUACGUGCCAGCAGCCGCGGUAAUACGUAGGUGGCGAGCGUUGUCCGGAAUUACUGGGUGUAAAGGGCGUGUAGGCGGGAAUGCAAGUCAGAUGUGAAAUACCGUGGCUUAACCACGGGGCUGCAUCUGAAACUGUGUUUCGUGAGUGUCGGAGAGGAAAGUGGAAUUCCCAGUGUAGCGGUGAAAUGCGUAGAUAUUGGGAGGAACACCAGUGGCGAAGGCGACUUUCUGGACGAUAACUGACGCUGAGGCGCGAAAGCGUGGGGAGCAAACAGGAUUAGAUACCCGUGUAGUC
Molecule: ribosomal RNA, 441 nt
Filed under: uncultured bacterium
Lineage: Bacteria
Description: partial 16S ribosomal RNA
Rfam family: Bacterial small subunit ribosomal RNA
Source: RNAcentral